AGCCUAACUAUAAUGCCCUGAGAUGUAGUUACUUGCUUUCGCUUCAAAAUAACUACAUAUGCUGAGAAAAAAGAAAAGUUCAUUGUGCACAACUAUAAGUACAUUCUGAUUCAUUUUUCGGUUAGCCCACAUAUGGUUCAAUACAGUGAACUUACUUUUCUGCAUGUGUGUUUGAGACCAGAAGAUAGCAUAUUAACCUUUUAAAAUGUACAUUUAAAAUUUUUAUAUUUACAUUUGGAUGACUUUACCAAUAACUAGGACUAUUUCAAAAAUAAAGUGUAGGUGCCUGACUCACAUAUACUUGACCAAGAAUAAAUGAGGUCAUGAGUACAUGACCAAAGUGAGUUCUCUAAGAUUGACAUGUUUUUUCCUGCUUCCCUCUUAGAAAUAUUGAGGGAAAAAUCUAGAACUUUUAAAAUAGACCUUUUGUCCCUACCUCCAGCAAUCAAAAGUUAUGAAACAUUAAGGCCCAAUCUCAGAAUAAUCCACUUACUCUGGUUUUUGUUUUGUUUUGGCUUGCAAGCUAAAGAAAUAAACUUCAUCCUGCCAUCUUGAGCAAAAAAAAAAGAUAAUUGGAUUUAUUGGAGGGAUACUGAGGAAGAUUAGCCCUGAGCUAACAUCGGUGCCCAACUUCCUCUACUUUAUAUGUGGGACACCUGCCACAGCAUGGCUUGAUAAGCAGUGCAUAGGUCUUCACCCGGUAUCCAAACCUGCAAACCCUGGGCCAUGAAAGUGGAAUGUGCGAACUUAAUGGCUGUGCCACAAGGCUGGUCCCAGAAAGCGAUUUUUAAUAAUCUGGAAUUAUUUAUGAGAUAGGGAAGCAGUGAAUAUGGGUGGAGACAAUACUCUGCUCCUAAAAUCAUUUUCUAAAGUUUCCAAAUUCAUUCCCACUUUUAGCAGAACAAGAAUUUUACAUUCCAAUAACAAAAAGUAACAGAAACUUCUGCUUUAAUCUAUAAGGGAAGAUUUUGUAGCAGAACAAAAUUGCUACCAAGAAAAACUUGAAAAGUUAGACAAAAUAAAAAAGACCACCUGUGUGAAAGCAUUAGGGAGUUACUAAGGCAGCCAGGGGCCAAGGGGCCAGAUUGUGAAGAGAAGAAAGCUACCCACACUCAUAAUAUGGUCAACGCAAACCACUCCUCCUGCCUUUUUUUUUUUUUUUAGCAUAAACUGUUCAUGAAAGCAAAAAAAUACACAUAGAAAAGUGCACAAAUCAUUAGCAUAUAGUUCAAUCAAUUUUCUCAAACUGACUUUUUUCUGUAGUGUGAACAUGCUGGUGAUUGAUUUUUUCAGUUUUUGUGUAUCUGAAAAUAUUUUUGCCUUAGUUUCUGAAAGGAGUUUUGCUGCCAUAUAGCAUUCUGGUUACUUCACUGUCUUUUCCUUUUGUUUCUUCUCCCCAAAGCUCCCCAGUAUAUAGUUGCACAUUUUAGUUGUGGGUCCUUCUAUUGUGGCACGUGGGCUGCUGCCUCACCAUGGCCUGACGAGCGGUGCCAUGUCGGCGCCCAAGAUCCGAACCAGUGAAACCCUGGGCCACUGAAGCGGAGUGUAUGAACUUAACCACUCAGCCACGGGGCCAGCCCUCCACUGUCUUCUUGCUUGCGUUGUUUCCAACAAGAAAUCUGCUGUCAUCCUUAUCCUUGUUCCUCAGUAGGUAACACAUAUUUUUUUUUUCUCACUUGCUCUUUUUAAAGGAACUAAGUCUGUCCCUUCAAGUUAUGUUCUCCAGGAAGCUGACUGUGAGACAGGGUUUUGUGCAAGGAAGUUAUGAGGGGGCAGCGUGUGAUCAACCCCUGUGGAGUUGGAAGGAAGCAGGAUUGGGAAAAGGGAAACCCUUAUGUGGAGUUCUGAGCUAAAAUGGCCCAUCAGAGGUAUCCUGCUUUGGGCCAAAAUGGCAGGGCCUUACUCCCAGCUUGAUUGGUCAUGAUAUGUGGGUUGCCCAAGAAAGAGAAAGAACUUGGUGGGAGGCAGCUCUCCACAGCUGAGGGGAUCCCUAAAAGGGCCGACUAAACAUAGCCCACCAAGCAAUGGGGCAGCAAACUCUCACUUGAGCGGGAGAUCUGGAGAUGGUGCCCCACCAUUUCGACUACAUCUGUGGAUACAAUCACAGGAAUUAUUCAUUCAUUUCGUGGAGGAGAGCAGAGACCAGACACCCAAAUAGUGUCUAUUGCCAUAACUUUUUGGUGACACAGUUGAGAAAAACUAUUCGUUUCCUUUUAAAAUAAUUGUGAUAAAAUAUACACAGCACAAAAUGUACCACUUUAACCAUUUUUAGGUGUAUAGUUCAGUGGCAUUAAGCACAAUGACAUCAUUGUGCAGCCAUCACCACCAUCGACCUCUGGGAUUUCUUCAUCUUCCCAAACUGAAACUCUGUCCCCAUUAAACAAUAACUCCCAUUCUCCCCUCCCCUAGACGUUGGCAGCCACAUUCUACUCUCAGUCUUUAUGAACUUGACUACUCUAGGUAACUCACAUAAGAGGCAUCAUUCAGUAUUUGUCCUUUUGCGUCUGGCUUAUUUUACUUAGAACAAUGUCUUCAAGGUUCAUCCAUGUUGUACCAUGUACAAGAAUUUCCUUCCUUUUGAAGGAUGAAUAAUAUUCUAUUGUAUGUAUAUACUACAUUUUGUUUAUCUAUUCAUCCACUGAUGGACAUUUGGGUUGUUUCCAACUUUUAGCUAUUGUGAGUAACACUGCUAUGAACAUUGGCGUACAAAUACGUCAGUUGCCUUUAAAUUGUUUUCAGUGACUAGUAAAGGAUAAAAGAGAACAAGAGACCAAAAUGUGAGCUAUGAACUUCAACUGGUGAGAUUCAGAGUCAGACUGAGUGAGAACAUGCAAACUAAGUGAGAAUUAAAAACCGGUUUGCAAAUCAGGUUAAUGUCUUAAAACGAAUUGUUCGGCUUUCAAAAGAAUAAAAGCCCACAAAAAAAUCUAAACAAUCUCAUGUUCUCUCCACCCCAGCCAAACUGGAUAUAUGCCAUUUCCCAAACACAGGUUGUGCUUUCUGCUUCUCUGCCUUUGCCCAUGUUGUUCAUUCAGCCUGCAGAAAGCUUUUCUCAGAGCAUCUGUGAUAGCCAACUCUGACCUGCAGGUCAGAACAGAGCAAAAUGCCAAUAAUUAUUUUCCUAAUCUGAGGCGAUUUCAUUUAGCAUCUUUUUACUCCACUGCUAAAGUCUAUUUCGAUUUACUCCCAUAUUUCUCACUUUUUUCUUUAAAUAUUACAUUAUCCAUAUUACAGCCAAGGAUUCUUGCACAUUCGAGAUUGUAAGGCCCUUAUGGUUAUUCACUUAUCGAUGACCAGUCCUGUGUCAUCUGCAGUCAAUAGGCAGCCCCAGCCAACACCACUGUCUGGCUACCUGAUGAGAUUUGCAGUUGACAUUUGUUAUUCUUUGGCCUCCCAGCGUCUACUCCUCCUCUUAUGGCAUC
Molecule: long non-coding RNA, 3422 nt
Organism: Equus caballus (horse)
Lineage: Eukaryota; Metazoa; Chordata; Mammalia; Perissodactyla; Equidae
Source: Ensembl